ACAAACGCUGGCGGCGUGCCUAAUACAUGCAAGUCGAACGGGGAAAGCCUUCGGGUGAGUACUAGUGGCGCACGGGUGAGUAACACGUGGGUAAUUUUCCAUAGAGUGGAGGAUAACUAGUCGAAAGAUUAGCUAAUACUCCAUAAGACCACAGGAUCUGCGGAUCUAGGGGUCAAAGGUUUUUCGCUCUAUGAUAAGCCCGCGCAGGAUUAGCUAGUUGGUGAGGUAAUGGCUCACCAAGGCGACGAUCUUUAGCUGGUCUGAGAGGAUGAUCAGCCACACUGGAACUGAGACACGGUCCAGACUCCUACGGGAGGCAGCAGUAGGGAAUAUUGCACAAUGGAGGAAACUCUGAUGCAGCGACGCCGCGUGAGUGAUGAAGGACUUCGGUUCGUAAAGCUCUGUCGUAUGGGAAUAAGAAAGUGAAUGUACCAUGCAAGAAAGGAUCGGCUAACUUCGU
This 460-nucleotide ribosomal RNA is filed under the name uncultured bacterium. Its description in RNAcentral is "bacterial SSU rRNA". It matches the Rfam family "Bacterial small subunit ribosomal RNA", at positions 29 to 506 of the family's 1533-position model. The record is from RNAcentral.